This 497-nucleotide ribosomal RNA is filed under the name uncultured bacterium. RNAcentral's name for it is "partial 16S ribosomal RNA". It matches the Rfam family "Bacterial small subunit ribosomal RNA", at positions 28 to 507 of the family's 1533-position model. The record is from RNAcentral.
GAUGAACGCUGGCGGCGUGCCUAAUACAUGCAAGUCGAGCGAACAGACGAGGAGCUUGCUCCUCUGACGUUAGCGGCGGACGGGUGAGUAACACGUGGAUAACCUACCUAUAAGACUGGGAUAACUUCGGGAAACCGGAGCUAAUACCGGAUAAUAUAUUGAACCGCAUGGUUCCAUAGUUAAAGACGGUUUUGCUGUCACUUAUAGAUUGAUCCGCGCCGCAUUAGCUAGUUGGUAAGGUAACGGCUUAACAAGGCAACGAUGCGUAGCCGACCUGAGAGGGUGAUCGGCCACACUGGAACUGAGACACGGGCCAGACUCCGAAGGGAGGCAGCAGUAGGGAAUCUUCCGCAAUGGGCGAAAGCCUGACGGAGGAAAGCCGCGUGAGGGAUGAAGGUCUUCGGAUCGGAAAACUCUGUUAUUAGGGAAGAACAAAUGUGUAAGUAACUAGGCACGUCUUGACGGUACCUAAUCAGAAAGCCACGGCUAACUACGUG